RNAcentral lists this ribosomal RNA (504 nucleotides) under uncultured Bacillota bacterium. Its description in RNAcentral is "bacterial SSU rRNA". It matches the Rfam family "Bacterial small subunit ribosomal RNA", at positions 355 to 851 of the family's 1533-position model. Lineage: Bacteria; Bacillati; Bacillota. The record is from RNAcentral.
UAGGGAAUCUUCCGCAAUGGACGAAAGUCUGACGGAGCAACGCCGCGUGAGCGAAGAAGGCCUUCGGGUCGUAAAGCUCUGUUGUUAGGGAAGAACAAGUACGAGAGUAACUGCUCGUACCUUGACGGUACCUAACCAGAAAGCCACGGCUAACUACGUGCCAGCAGCCGCGGUAAUACGUAGGUGGCAAGCGUUGUCCGGAAUUAUUGGGCGUAAAGCGCGCGCAGGCGGUCCUUUAAGUCUGAUGUGAAAGCCCACGGCUCAACCGUGGAGGGUCAUUGGAAACUGGGGGACUUGAGUGCAGAAGAGGAGAGUGGAAUUCCACGUGUAGCGGUGAAAUGCGUAGAGAUGUGGAGGAACACCAGUGGCGAAGGCGACUCUCUGGUCUGUAACUGACGCUGAGGCGCGAAAACGUGGGGAGCAAACAGGAUUAGAUACCCUGGUAGUCCACGCCGUAAACGAUGAGUGCUAAGUGUUAGAGGGUUUCCGCCUUUAGUGCUGCAG